Molecule: non-coding RNA, 73 nt
Organism: Aedes albopictus (Asian tiger mosquito)
Lineage: Eukaryota; Metazoa; Arthropoda; Insecta; Diptera; Culicidae
Source: Rfam
UGCUCUGUGACUUAGUUGGUUAAAGCGCCGGACUAGCGAUACAGAGUCGUGGGUUCAAAUCCCACCAAAACAA